This is a long non-coding RNA of Brienomyrus brachyistius, 4376 nucleotides long. RefSeq lists it as uncharacterized. The transcript has 3 exons. NCBI's taxonomy places the organism in Eukaryota, Metazoa, Chordata, Actinopteri, Osteoglossiformes, Mormyridae. The record is from RefSeq and is a predicted model, not a curated record.
GCUCCUCGGCGGUGUAACACCAGCUGGGGUUCGGGUUGGAACUCUAUUAAUUGCGUUUUUUCGUAUCCACUGAAUGGUGAAGGUAAGCAGGAACCACAGCCUGAAACGGAUUAAUGUGAGGGUUCCGUUACGUUACAUUUAAAUAGGUAGGACUAGGUUAGUAGGGGAAAAGAACCUGAGGAAAAACAGCGGGAGAUACAAACAAAUGAAACGUGUGUAUGAGCGGCCUGAUGGUGUCAGUGUGACGGAGGAGGACAUUAGCUGUUGCAGGAGUGAACUGUUAUGGACUUGGUGAUGCCAGUGGCCUGUACUACGAAGCGGGGUUACUGGCUUAUAGGGGUAACUUGACGUAUUUAAGGUAGUCCGGGCAAAAUGCAAGUGAACGAAUAUGAAGUCCGUUUAAACUGUGCUACCUUAAAUCCGACAAGUUACCCCGAUAAGCCAGUAAGCCCGCUUCGUAGUACAGGCCACAGGUUGAUAUUGGUUUACACAAAAUUACAUGAUUAAAAAUAGGGAUUGAAGUACUGUUAAAGUUCCUCUCAGAAUUUCAUUCUGCACGUAACUAAAUUGUCCUCAGCCUUAAUAUCGAUGGCUGCCCUCGUUUUUGCGCUCAUAACAAAUACUAAGUUUCCACGCUGCUCUACUGUAAGUGCAACUUAGGGGAACUUGAGGUGACUCAAUAACGAUGUGAGAGUGGCUAAUUGGUGGGUUUCAAACACCACGAAGUUUCCCGUUCAACAGGCCCCUUCGAGUCCUUCUUUUCAAACUUCAAACAGCGGAGCCGCCACCCCCCACUAAGUGCAGUGUGUCCACGCGCGUAAUUACAGUGAUCCGCGCGCCUCUUCUCCGUAAUUGCGAGGCUUCGGAGCUUCGGUUUCUAUCUUAAAAAAAUAAAAAAAUAAAAAAAAUUAAAAAAAAAUCCGAAUUUCCCAGAGGAAUCUACCCGAGGGAUUAAUAAAGUUUCUUUCUAUCUUCUUCUUCUUCUUCUUGUGGACGUCCGCGCGCAUCGUGAGAUCCUGAGCCCGCUUGCUCUGCUACAGUACGAGGGGGCGUCGGUCCUGCAUUCCCAGGGACCUGCAGAGACAAACGCAGGCGACAGUACGACCGCGAAUGAAAAUGGCCAGAGGCUGCUUUAUGGUUAUGGUGGCUAUAACUUGAUCGAUGUGUCAGGCAGUGCUAACGAUUUAGAAACAGCAGCAAUGACAACACACUUAAUCCAUCUGUCUUCUUAUCCUGCUCAGGGUUGCAGGCACAAAGCUGGGGUUCAUCUAGAAACCAUGAUUAGCCGAACUGCAUGUCUUUGGGCUGCAGGAGUUAACUAGAGUAAAUGGAAACAGGAAACCUGUGCAACACAGAGUGAAUAUGCAAACCCCACAUAUGCAUAGAGGAGGAAGGAUUUGAGCCCCCCCCAUCCAUAUAGGGGUGAGAACAGAACUAAUGACUGAGCCACUUAUGGAAGAAUAAGUGUGGAAAAAGAGAAGCAGAAAGAUCUUGUUCUGGUCGGUUACUGGAAUGUUAAACACCGUACUUUCCCCUCUGUAUCUUUUGAUAUCUCCACUUCCGGGGAUAUUCCCCGUGCGUUUGGCUGCAUUUUGUGUGGUUUAAAAACGCAGUGCUUACACCCGUUGUGUUAAUAACUGUGAAAGCACAUGCUGUGUGCACUGCAGAUGGACUGUGUCCUCCAGUGGUGCGUUUACACGCGAUGAAUCGUUAACACGCUCCGCGCAGCUCGGGUGAUCGUUAUGCUUUUUUCCUGAUUAUAAAAUCGCAAGGCUGAAAUCAUUGAAGCCAGCUUUCGUGACAAAAGGAACGUGAGGGUCAAGGUGAAGCUUACCGCCAGGAGGGACACCCCCCCAGGAUGUUUCUGGAAUGGAAAGGGGAGGGGGGGGGACAUUAUCUGCUCUCGUCACUGUUAAUUUGGCAGUUAAACAAGAAUUCUGAUUUAACUACACACGCCACAGAUGGCAGAGUAAAAGUUGUAAAAAAAAAAUAUAACGCUUUCCCGAAUGUUUUAUUUUUAUAUCCCUCUGCAUCAGUUGUCGUAUGAACACAAAUAAAAUCUGAAGAAACACCCCGAGGGUCCAGCAUAGCCUUCCUACGUGUUCCCAGGGACCCAGAGUGUAUUCCAUAAUAACACGCAGGAAUUAGUACAGGUUAACCUAUUGGGUGGCAUAUGGGGCAGCCGAGGAUACCGUCUUCCGAGGGGACGCCGAUUUCAGUUUGUCUCAGAUUCGGGGUGGGGGGUGAGGAUUGCCUGGAGCAUACAUGGGCUUUGACCAGGACUGAGUGAUGCUGCGCCAAGCCGUCUUUCCCUUCUGAAAGCAAAUUGAAAGCAGCAGGUAAGCAUCGUGACAUAAUAUCCGAGCAGUUGCCUGAAUACAAAUAGCUCUACUCAAGCAAAGUGAUUAGAUAUUUAUGAAUGGGAUACUGUCAGCUAUACCUUACGCCUGUGAGAUCAGACUUCACAGUGAACCAUCCAUCCAUCCAUCCAUUUUCCAAACCGCUUAUCCUACUGGGUCGCGGGGUCACAGUGAACCAGACUUCAGACAAAUGUGAGCUCAUGCCUUUUUGGAUAAGCGACAUUCAUGAAUGGGUGUCAGAGGGAUUAAAUUUGUAUUUGUUCCAUCAGAGUAAUUUAGGCAACAUUCGGAGCUACUUCACUACCAGGGUAAUGCAACUUCAGUGAAUUGGCCACUGUAAGAGUGAGUCAGUCAGUUUUGAAGUACUGCCUCGUGCCAAUUGCUAUAUAUUUUUCAUAUAUAUUCAUAUUACUUGGCCUAGGGGUGGCUUAGGGGCAUGGUGCUGCAGCGGUUAGCACUGUUGCCUCACACCUCGAGGGCCAGGAUUUGAGUCGAUUUGACUCCCUGUAUCAUUGUCAGGUUUCUCCUGGGGUCUCCAGUGUCCCCCUGCCGUCCAAAUAUUUGCUAAGAUUAACUGGAGUUACCAAACUGCCAGUAGGUAUGUAUGUGUGAGUGAAAGGUGUGUGAAUGUGCCCUGUGAUGGGAUGGCAUCCCGUCCUGGGUUGUUCCCCAUCUUGGCUUCAUAGGCUCCAGACCCCCUGUGACCUUGAAUAGGACAAGUGUUAACAGAGGAUGGAUGGAUUAUAUAGCAUAUAUCAUAUAAAGGAUUACUUGAUUCAUUGUCAAAUUAAUCAUUAGAUUACUCAAUUAUUAAUAUAAUUGAUAGUGACAGCCAUAAACAAUAAUGCAUAUUAUUAUUAUUGUUGUAUUAUUACAAUUGCUGUCAUAGCAGUGAGGGGUGUGUGGGAUUAACUGCUAAUUAUUGCCCUGGUGUCAGUAAUUCAUUUCUCAUGGUAGAGUGCAAUGCUAAUGCUUUGUCCCCUUGCGGUUGUCGCGGGCUGUUCAGUUUACAGGCUCUUCUUGGGCCUUUUGGAGGUUAUUCAUUUGGGAUGUGUAGAGCGGCGCUGAUUAGCCUCGCUAACAUUGAGCUGCUACUCGCUGAUAAGCUCUCGGUUCCGGGGUCGUAUGAAAGAGCCAUUAGUCACCGCGCUGAGGUUUUAUCGGGCCACUUUCCUCGUGUCAUGUCAGUGACAGUGGUUUCGCUACGGGGCUCAGGAAUGCUAUAGAAAUGGGAUCUCUCCUGCUAACAUGUUUUUACACUUUGUAAUAUAAAAAAACCCUUUACAGCUGCAUAUUUUUGAUCACUAAUUAUCCAUGGGUCUCUGCAGUUUAACUGCAUAGAUAAAAGUGAUACUUAUUUUGCUGUUUGAGUACAAGAUGUAGACUCCAUGGCAUUGGGGUGGGGGAGGUCUUAAUUGUUUUUCUGUAUGCCCAGGUCUCUGUCAUUCCUCUGCGGGACGCUUGGCCUUCGUUGUUUUUCUGUAUGCCCAGGUCUCUGUCAUUCCUCUGCGGGACGCUUGGCCUUCGUUGUUUUUCUGUAUGCCCAGGUCUCUGUCAUUCCUCUGCGGGACGCUUGGCCUUCGUUGUUUUUCUGUAUGCCCAGGUCUCUGUCAUUCCUCUGCGGGACGCUUGGCCUUCGUUGUUUUUCUGUAUGCCCAGGUCUCUGUCAUUCCUCUGCGAGACGCUUGGCCUUCGUUGUUUUUCUGUAUGCCCAGGUCUCUGUCAUUCCUCUACGGGACGCUUGGCCUUCAUUGUUUUUCUGUAUGCCCAGGUCUCUGUCAUUCCUCUGCGAGACGCUUGGCCUUCGUUGUUUUUCUGUAUGCCCAGGUCUCUGUCAUUCCUCUGCGGAAGCUCGGCCUUCACUGUUUUCAUGUUUUUUUUCCCAAUUUUCUUAAAUUAGAGAGAGGGGUUGUAAUUUGUGUGCUCUCUGGGAUUUAAACCGACAACGUUUGUGUUGUUGGUACAACGUGCUGCUUGAUAAGCUAUAGAAGCUUGUAUAUAUAUUAAGUGCUGUUU